This is a non-coding RNA of Sus scrofa (pig), 1523 nucleotides long. The record is from RefSeq and is a predicted model, not a curated record. NCBI's taxonomy places the organism in Eukaryota, Metazoa, Chordata, Mammalia, Artiodactyla, Suidae.
CAGCAAGCUAUAAAGAAAAGAAUGCUGAGCCAAGGAAGAGGGGUCAGUAUCCAGUCACCUUGGACAGGUCACUUCCCUUUCCUGUGCAUUAGUGCUCUCAUCAAUAAAAUGAGGAUAAGGAGAAUACCUGCUCAGCAUACCUAAUAUACAGGGAAAAGGAAAAGGUUGUUCACAGAGAUCUUCAGGACCUGCUGUGCUUCAGACUACAUUUUUUGGCACCUUCCUUGGUGUGUUGCUGUCCGUGGUGCUGAAACAUCCUUAGGCUUAAAGGAGCCCUUAUGGAGGCAGCGCACCUCCAGCAGCGGGAGCGGCCCCGCCAAGCUCCUUUCCAGGACCCACACUCAGAUCUCAGCAUCCAGCCCCAGAGCUCUGACCUAUGUGGGGUCUCCUGCUUCAAUGCUGAGAUGCGAGCAAUCGAGAGAGGCAGCAUUACCAGGGAGGCUUGAAUUGACUCUUACAUAUUUUUCAAAAGUAAAUUAUGUACAAACUGCUCUAAUUACUGGUGAGCAUGCCCCUGAAACCCCUCCUGGCUGAUAGAGCCACAGCAAGAGGCCCGGCACCAGUGCUGAGGGCCCAGUCAGCUGUCCCAGGUCACCAGCAGUCCCAGGGACAUGAACUACGGUGAGGAAACUCCAGCUGUCAGUCCUGGGAUUUAUAGUCCUGUGAAAGCCACGGCCUCUCCUGGGGCCCAUGUGGUACUAGCCCCCCAGGCUGGGCCUGUGAUGAGCACGCUGCGCUGAUAGAGACCCCAGUCCGGAGCUGGGAUGCAACCAGCCACCCUGCCUGUUCUGAGCCCCAGGUGCCACGUCUGCCCCCUACUUACUGCCUAGGUUUCUGGCUCAGGGAGGGACCUGGGCCCCCAGUGGCUCAGGACCGAACUAAGGUAGGGAGAGAAGCUCAGGGGCUCUGGAUUUAGACCAGAAGACAUUCAAGUGGACAGAUUCCCAGUGAGGAAAGUUGCGUCUCCCUGGCCGCUGUGCAUGAGGAGCUUCUGAAGCUGCAGAAAGAGCAGUGUUUGGUCUCCGGGCUCUGCAGCAGGACUGGCACACCCCCGCCUCUGCUGUGCUUCUCGUUACCCGACCCUGGAAGGAAGGACGGGACUAGGACUCCCCUCUGAGUUAAGGUCCCUUCCCACUGAAACAGCUGAGAAGCUAUAGCUGCAAAGGCUGAGGGGGGAGGGCAGCAGAUUUGAGGUGGAGACGGCUGGCCUGAAGGGACAUGGCUUUCCUGCUUGUGAAAUGGGACCAUUUCUCUUCCUUCCCCCGUGAGCUCCAAGGCAGGGGGUGACAGGGGGAAUUCUAUGUACAAGGCGACCUCAGGCUGCUGACAGGUGAGUCCCUGGCUAGGCUGGGAUCGCUCUGGAGAGAGACCUGGUAGGUAGGCACAGGCCAGAGUGCGGCAGGUACAGGAGUGAGAAAGAGGCUGUGGGUGACUGGCUCCAUGAAGCCAUCUUAUGAAAACCCAGAAUUAAGAUCUACAUAGCGGAGUUCCCGUCGUGGCUCAGUGGUUAACGAAUCCGACUA